This 253-nucleotide ribosomal RNA is filed under the name uncultured bacterium. Its description in RNAcentral is "partial 16S ribosomal RNA". It matches the Rfam family "Bacterial small subunit ribosomal RNA", at positions 524 to 776 of the family's 1533-position model. The record is from RNAcentral.
UACGGAGGGGGUUAGCGUUGUUCGGAAUUACUGGGCGUAAAGCGUACGUAGGCGGAUUAAUAAGUUAGAGGUGAAAUCCCAGGGCUCAACCCUGGAACUGCCUUUAAAACUGUUAGUCUUGAGAUCGAGAGAAGUGAGUGGAAUUCCAAGUGUAGAGGUGAAAUUCGUAGAUAUUUGGAGGAACACCAGUGGCAAAGGCGGCUCACUGGCUCGAUACUGACGCUGAGGUACGAAAGUGUGGGGAGCAAACAGG